GUUUGACGUGAAGCUCCAUCUGCUGCUGAAGCUACAGGUUAUUUUGCAUUUGUUAGCAGUAAAAUCACAGUUACGUAGAGGUAAAACACGCAUACAGAUGUCGGUUAGCAUUAAGUCAAGUCACUGGUUAAUCUCUGUCAAAGUUCCUUUUGUUGGCUUUAAGGGGUUGAAAUGACAUAAAUGUUACACGACAGGAUUGGUUGCACCAUGUUCGUUCCCUGUGUAGCUGGCAUGUUUCCCUGACUGCAGAGCAUGUUCCCUCCAAAGCAUAAAAUCCAUUGGUUGAUUGAACAGCGAGCCAUCUACCAUUCAAAAUGAAACCAACCAAUGCUGAGCUGGGCUGCUUGAGACAAUCAGAAGGGAUUUCCUGACCAGUGUCCCACCAUCGCUCUCUUUAUGAAGAGAAAUGUGACCACAAAACACAGA
Molecule: long non-coding RNA, 426 nt
Organism: Oreochromis aureus
Lineage: Eukaryota; Metazoa; Chordata; Actinopteri; Cichliformes; Cichlidae
Source: Ensembl